RNAcentral lists this long non-coding RNA (985 nucleotides) under Cyanistes caeruleus (blue tit). RNAcentral's name for it is "lncRNA (ENSCCEG00000024361.1)". Lineage: Eukaryota; Metazoa; Chordata; Aves; Passeriformes; Paridae. The record is from RNAcentral.
AUCAUUUUCCUUUCUCCAGCAUGUUUUCUGGCAGCCUGGAGCAAUUUUUCAGUGUGUGCUCCGUGUCAGUGUGAUCUGCACCGUCACCGUUGGAUCCCUGCCCGCAGGCUUCAGGAACGCAUCCAGUCUCUGUGUGACACCUGGGCCGGCUCUGGGAAUGCAGAACAGAUUUUGGUGAUGUAUUCAGCUUCUAAAAAUAACUCCAUCAGAGCAAAUGAAAACAAGAUGCUUCUGUUGAAAGAUAAAUAGACAAAAUUAGUAGAGGGUAUGAAUCCCUAUCCUUCCAUCAGCACCCCACAAUUGGUGUUUAGUGCUGCAGAACUCCCUUUGGAUUAGAGAUGAGAGUGCUUUAGGAGACUCCAGCUUUACCCAGAUGACCUCUCUCAAAUUCAUUUUACAAGGUGAGGUUUUUAAAUCAGUUUAUCCGCCAGCAGCCAAAGAGUGCUGUGAAAACAUCUCCAGCCGCUGCGGUGAGCCGCUGGUGACCCGGAAUGUUCUGCUUGCCGUGAUUCCCUUGGGAGUUUAUUGGAUCACAGCACAUCUGGGCAGAGGUCAGAGCUGCUCAGGAAAACAGGCAAGCCUGGCUCGGCUUCUUUUUAAGCGCCAAGGUGUUGUUUGGCUCCGUGAAUCCCUCCUUGCAGCAAUCGGGCACAGUGCUCCCGAGUUAAGGACAGGAAUUGAUGGAGGAAAUCCAUUCCUUAGCAAGGAAUUUUUGCUGUUUAUGGCAUUUUUAGAGUCUUUAGGAAGCACCUGUAGAAAUGGCGUGGGACAAUACAGAAAAUUAGAAAUACUCUGUAUGAAUAGUUACCUGUUUCGUCCAGAAGUGGAGCAAGCACAGCCUGAUUGGGAACAUGACUUAGAAAAUCAGGCAAUAUUAAUAAAAAGGACAGUGGGAAUGGGAGGCCCAUUUUCUGAGAAUUCCAGAAUGGUUUGGGUUGGAGAUUACCUUAAAAAUUACCUUUUUCUCACCCCCUGCCAUGGGUAG